Molecule: unclassified non-coding RNA, 1210 nt
Filed under: Leishmania donovani
Lineage: Eukaryota; Euglenozoa; Kinetoplastea; Trypanosomatida; Trypanosomatidae
Description: gene:LdHU3.26.3190(CDS-product:hypothetical_prote in_conserved)
Source: RNAcentral
CGUCACGUGCUCGGGUGUCUGCUGCUGUGUUCUGUGGCUAGGACAGCAUAUCAGGUGCCCAAUCGCAGACAGACGGAGAGAGAUGCCACUAGACUUGGUAGGCAAGCUGCACCGCACCGUGUACAUCACGGAUUGCCCAGAGGACUCACAAGAGGACCUGCUGCACAUGCUUCUGAAGCGCUGCGGCGCGAUCGAGGCAUGGGACGUUGUCGAUGGCCGGCUCGUUGUGGUGUUUCGAAGCAUGAACAGCGUCAGCAACGCCCUCACCUUCCACGGUAUGUCCUUUGUGGACUUGACGAGAAAGAUUUGUGUGUGGAAAGCCACAGACGCGCCACCGGCGGAGGCAACACAUCAGCUGGCCAUCCAAGGAGGCUCUGCCACUGCGGAGGCGGCUCCGAUGGAGGCCACAUCGACCGAAGAGGAGGACAGCCGCCGAGCGCAGCGGAAGGAGCGGCGCGCUGCACUGCAGCAGAUCCUGAAUAGCGGCGUGGCGGACCUUGUCGACACUUCCUCGCUGGAGGGCCGGCAAGCAAAGAUGACGGAGCUGUGCUACCGACAGCUCAAGGCCCUCUGCGUGCUCUCUGCUGCCGCGGCGAAGGAUGCGAGGGCGGAACUGGAGGAGAAGAAGGAGAACCUUGCACGAUUGCAAGACCUGAUCCGCACUCAAGAGGCAGCGCCCAAACGGCAAUGGGAGGGAUCGGCUGAGGUGGGCGAGGAAGAGCCGGCGAGGGCGAGGCGCCGCGUGUAGCCAACCUCGCCCUCUUGUUUCUUACCGACGUGCAGCUUUGGUGAAGGAGACAUCAGAUGAGGUGGGGUGGAGCGGGAUGAUGAUAGUCUGCUGGUGCCGGGGUGCCCUCACGGCAUGGAAGGCCACGUAGCACGUUGAGCACCGGAAGGCAAAGGCACUGCGCCAGUGCGGCGAUGGAGAGAUGGCGCGCUUGCGUGCCCUUGUAGCCGUGCAUGUGUCGCUCUGGAGGGGGAGCAAAAGGGGAAGAGGCGGAGCCGCAGCCGCAACACGGACUGCAACGGAAAACCGCCCGCGCGCCCCCCUCGCCUGUUGUCACGCAGCAGGAACGCAUCCCUCUGCCAUUUCUGCAGAUGAGUUUUGCAUGUCUCUGCGACUGUAUCCCUCUUGUGUUGCGGUCACCACCGCCGUCUUCCUCCCCUCCUCCUGCUUCUUUACACACGCGCGUUCAUUACAACGCCACAG